RNAcentral lists this transfer RNA (85 nucleotides) under Azonexus hydrophilus. RNAcentral's name for it is "tRNA-Leu". It matches the Rfam family "tRNA". Rfam says of the family: Transfer RNA (tRNA) molecules are approximately 80 nucleotides in length. The record is from RNAcentral. Lineage: Bacteria; Pseudomonadati; Pseudomonadota; Betaproteobacteria; Rhodocyclales; Azonexaceae. RNAcentral also lists the same sequence under 2 other names.
GCCCCGGUGGCGGAAUCGGUAGACGCAGCGGAUUCAAAAUCCGCCGCCGAAAGGCGUGCCAGUUCGAGUCUGGCUCGGGGCACCA